Molecule: long non-coding RNA, 1148 nt
Organism: Triticum dicoccoides
Lineage: Eukaryota; Viridiplantae; Streptophyta; Magnoliopsida; Poales; Poaceae
Exons: 3
Source: RefSeq, a predicted model, not a curated record
GGGCCAGCGAAGUGCUUUUACUUAUGAGUUUGCUAACCCGGCAGAAUCCAAUAUUCCUGAGAUUGACGGAUGUUAUUACAUUAUUGUACUACAGCUGAAAACUCUUGGCAUUGAUGUGUAACCAUCAAGCUGCAGAUGCCGAGGGCCAUAUUCACCGGACAUCAGAUCAUCAAGAGCGUGGUACAACUGGCCACACGCACGAAAAGUGUAGACGCCGGUUCCCGCGGCAGUGCUCACUUGUCGAUCAAGGUUGACACCAAGAGUUGUGAAUGAGAACUCGUCAGAAACUUCCGGAGUAAACACACCCACCUUGCCCUUUCUGCAACAAAAUGCAGGCCCCUCGUAUUGAAACCGCAAUGCUCCACAGUGGCAGCAGUCGCUAACUUUUCGAAGGACAUGGUGCUUUUUGGGCAGGUUCAUGUAUACUUUGUCAUGAGUGUCAUUAGUGCGAGUUCCAUCACCAUGAUUCCGAUCCACAAGGUAGGAUUGAAAUUCAACAUCUGGAAAAGUGUAGACAUUUGCAUUAAGUAAAUUUGUUGCACAAACCAUUUUGUUGUACUAUAUAUUGUGUUGGUACAUCAUGAUAGCAACAAUAGACCUGGUUGGGCAAACAUCCUAGCUUCCUCAUCAGGGUCAUCAUCUCCAAGGUUGUCGCCUGCCAAGCAGUCUAGCCGCCAACGCCGUCGAUAAUGCAAAAGGUGUUUCAAAUAACGGUCAGGACACGAAACAAAGGUAACCGGGUGAGAGGAGACUUAAAACGAUAUUAUGUGUACCAUCAAUAUUAAUCGUGUGGGCAUCAGGCUCCAGUAUUCCAUAUGGAUCUUCGUCGUGGUUGUUGCCUGAUAACAUUGUGAGUUAAAAUGAUAUUAUGUGUAUCAUCAGUAUUAUGAGUAAGAAUCAGAGAUGAAUUGAAUUUAUGAACCAGGUGUUAGUAAAAAUAUACCAAUUAGAUUAUGAGUGCCAGGACCCGCAUCAGGGAUCGUUUCCAUUACUGGACUAUUGUAAGUUGGCUGGAUCGUUACAGGUUGUUUGCCUACAUAAAUAGAAGACUUUGUACCUGAAUGAUGACAUUAUUGUAGCCGAAUGAAAUAUUAUAUAUUGUAGCAUAAAUAUUUCAAUGAACUAACCUUUGUUUUGUCCUGACUCCU